Molecule: non-coding RNA, 23 nt
Filed under: Rattus norvegicus (Norway rat)
Lineage: Eukaryota; Metazoa; Chordata; Mammalia; Rodentia; Muridae
Source: RNAcentral
UUUACACUUGUCAGUGUUGGUAC